RNAcentral lists this ribosomal RNA (468 nucleotides) under uncultured bacterium. Its description in RNAcentral is "partial 16S ribosomal RNA". It matches the Rfam family "Bacterial small subunit ribosomal RNA", at positions 28 to 507 of the family's 1533-position model. The record is from RNAcentral.
GACGAACGCUGGCGGCGUGCUUAACACAUGCCAGUCGAACGGAAAGGCCCUGCUUUUGUGGGGUGCUCGAGUGGCGAACGGGUGAGUAACACGUGAGUAACCUGCCCUUGACUUUGGGAUAACUUCAGGAAACUGGGGCUAAUACCGGAUAGGAGCUCCUGCUGCAUGGUGGGGGUUGGAAAGUUUCGGCGGUUGGGGAUGGACUCGCGGCUUAUCAGCUUGUUGGUGGGGUAGUGGCUUACCAAGGCUUUGACGGGUAGCCGGCCUGAGCGGGUGACCGGCCACAUUGGGACUGAGAUACGGCCCAGACUCCUGCGGGAGGCAGCAGUGGGGAAUAUUGCACAAUGGGCGGAAGCCUGAUGCAGCAACGCCGCGUGCGGGAUGACGGCAUUCGGGUUGUAAACCGCUUUCGCCUGUGACGAAGCGUGAGUGACGGUAAUGGGUAAAGAAGCACCGGCUAACUACGUG